RNAcentral lists this ribosomal RNA (463 nucleotides) under uncultured bacterium. RNAcentral describes it as "SSU rRNA". It matches the Rfam family "Bacterial small subunit ribosomal RNA", at positions 26 to 518 of the family's 1533-position model. The record is from RNAcentral.
AGGAUUAACGCUGGCGGCGUGCCUAACACAUGCAAGUCGAACGAGGUAGCAAUACCUAGUGGCAGACGGGUGAGUAACGCGUGGUCAACCUACCGUUGAGUGGGGGAUAACUAGCCGAAAGGUUAGCUAAUACCGCAUACGCGUCUCGGGGGCAUCCCUGGGCCGUAAAAGGAGCAAUCCGCUCGAUGACGGGACCGCGUCCCAUUAGCUAGAUGGUGGGGUAACGGCCUACCAUGGCACCGAUGGGUAGCUGGUUUGAGAGAGCGACCAGCCACACUGGGACUGAGAAACGGCCCAGACUCCUACGGGAGGCAGCAGUGAGGAAUUUUCCGCAAUGGGCGAAAGCCUGACGGAGCGACGCCGCGUGUGGGAAGAAGGCCUUCGGGUCGUAACCACUGUCGAAGGGGACGAUAAUGACGGUACCCUUGGAGGAAGCCCGGCGUAACUACGCGCCAGCAGCCGC